GACAGAGGGGGCAAGCGUUGCUCGGAAUCACUGGGCGUAAAGGGCGCGUAGGCGGGAUGGCAAGUCAGUCGUGAAAUCUCUCGGCUCAACCGAGAAGCGUCGGCUGAUACUGCCGUUCUUGAGGGAUGCAGAGGAGACUGGAAUUCCCGGUGUAGCGGUGAAAUGUGUAGAGAUCGGGAGGAACACCGGUGGCGAAGGCGGGUCUCUGAGCAUUUCCUGACGCUGAGGCGCGAAAGCGUGGGGAGCAAACGGG
This 253-nucleotide ribosomal RNA is filed under the name uncultured bacterium. Its description in RNAcentral is "partial 16S ribosomal RNA". It matches the Rfam family "Bacterial small subunit ribosomal RNA", at positions 524 to 776 of the family's 1533-position model. The record is from RNAcentral.